GCCGCUCCUCCACAUUCCUGCCCUCUCGCGGCCGGUGCCAUUGGUCGGAUCCACCCAGGGCACAAUCUGAAAAAUGUGUGCCAAGAGCUGUAAAACUGUUCAUUGAGCCCCCUUUGACCCGACCACACCAAGAAGACAGAGUGAGUUGGACUCACCUCCUGCUUAUGCAUUGGAGCAGUAUAAUGAGACAAUCCAUGAGGACGGAUCCUUUUUCCUGAUGACAAUAUAAUAUGCAAAGCAAAAGGAACACCAUGUGAUUCUCAGGUUCCAAAUUGAUUCUUCAGUGACUAGCUGUGUAUUUUUAUGGAGCUUGAUGAGCUGACAGGAAGCCACGGUCCCAAAGACUAGACAUGGAAACCUUAUUUAAAAAGAAAAUAGUGAUCAACAAAAUACAGAUAAUGUGCACAUUUUGCAUGUGGUCAUUUACCUAGGCUAGAAAAAGCCUAGAGUGGAGGAUUUCUGUCUACGCCCUACACCGUCGUCUAUAUAGAAGAAAAAACGACUAAGCUCUUGAUGCUCCUUAAGAUCUCCAGAUGAAAGAUACCGGAGGCGUCCAAGACAAUUAUUCACCAGUAUACUAUGAAAAAUUCUCAGAGGAGAAGGAGUUGGUCACAGCUCAACAGUGUACUUGGAAGUAAGUGAUACGAAAAGGAACUGAGUUUGCGAAAGGAUACGGAAGAUACGAAAAGAUACGAAAAGGAACUACACAGAGUUUGCAAUCAAGAACUGAUGAUUGAAUAAGUACUCAGUGUUUGUUUACUGAUCAAAUAAUCGAAUGAAUAUAUACAUGAAAAAACACAAAGAAUUGUAAUUCAAGAAAGGAGCUGGAGAACGAAGGCAGCUGCUCAGCACUGGCUCUCUGUGUGGCUUUGGCCAGAGAUGAAAAGGAGUCAGCGCCAGCCUGCAGUCAAGCUGGGUUUCACUGAAGGAGUCAUCUAGACAUGUGCCAGCCUCCCGGCCACUGCUGGGGGCAGGACUCACCACCUCCAGGGGAUGCUCACUAGGGUGGCCCCCUGACCACUCGUCCACACCCCACAGGGCCUGCACGGUGGCCAUUCCAAAGUGCUCCUUUGUUUUUGGUGUUAUUCUCUAGCCCAAAAACGUUGGUGACACCCCCUUGUUCACCUGCAGCAGUGUGUCCCCAAGAGGCACCUGUCCUGUGAGAUGCUCCUCAGAAACCCAGGCUGUAUCACUUGAGUUUGGAGAAUGCAGCCUUCUCUAUCCCACUCCCCCUUGCAG
This 1239-nucleotide long non-coding RNA is filed under the name Equus asinus (donkey). RNAcentral's name for it is "lncRNA (ENSEASG00005027368.1)". Lineage: Eukaryota; Metazoa; Chordata; Mammalia; Perissodactyla; Equidae. The record is from RNAcentral.